This 732-nucleotide ribosomal RNA is filed under the name uncultured bacterium. Its description in RNAcentral is "bacterial SSU rRNA". It matches the Rfam family "Bacterial small subunit ribosomal RNA", at positions 46 to 773 of the family's 1533-position model. The record is from RNAcentral.
GCUUAACACAUGCAAGUCGGGCGGCAGCGCGGGAGCAAUCCUGGCGGCGAGCGGCGAACGGGUGAGUAAUGCUUCGGAAUCUGCCCAGUAGUGGGGAAUAACCAGUCGAAAGACUGGCUAAUACCGCAUACGACCUAUGGGUGAAAGCGGGGGAUCGCAAGACCUUGCGCUAUUGGAUGAGCCGAAGUCGGAUUAGCUUGUUGGUGAGGUAACGGCUCACCAAGGCGACGAUCCGUAGCUGGUCUGAGAGGACGACCAGCCACACUGGGACUGAGACACGGCCCAGACUCCUACGGGAGGCAGCAGUGGGGAAUAUUGGACAAUGGGGGCAACCCUGAUCCAGCGACGCCGCGUGUGUGAAGAAGGCCUGCGGGUUGUAAAGCACUUUUAGUGGGGAGGAAAUGCGCAGACCUAACACGUCUGUGAGCUGACUUAACCCAAAGAAAAAGCACCGGCUAACUCUGUGCCAGCAGCCGCGGUAAUACAGAGGGUGCGAGCGUUAAUCGGAAUUACUGGGCGUAAAGCGUGCGUAGACGGUUAUUUAAGUCGGGUGUGAAAUCCCCGGGCUCAACCUGGGAAUUGCAUUCGAGACUGAAUAGCUAGGGUUCGGAAGAGGGAAGCGGAAUUUCCGGUGUAGCGGUGAAAUGCGUAGAUAUCGGAAGGAACAUCAGUGGCGAAAGCGGCUUCCUGGUCCAGAACCGACGUUCAGGCACGAAAGCGUGGGGAGCAAAC